This 379-nucleotide long non-coding RNA is filed under the name Salvia miltiorrhiza (redroot sage). RNAcentral describes it as "long non-coding RNA (SMIL_LNC002474)". The record is from RNAcentral. Lineage: Eukaryota; Viridiplantae; Streptophyta; Magnoliopsida; Lamiales; Lamiaceae.
UGAUAUUAAAUAAUAAAUAUAUGUGUGUCACUACUCACAGUAAAAUAUGCUCUAAAGUACGUGGUGGUAUGGACGAGACUCCAAAACUCUACAUCUUUCAAGUUCUUCUGCGAUCUUCUCCUCAAAAGAAACAAAACAAAGAAAAGAAAAUAAACAAAAAGAACCAAAAUAAAAAGGCGAAAGAAGAACAAAAAUAAGAAAACAACUAGGUUAUACCUUCCCAACAAGCGCUUAAUUUAACGGACGUAGCAGUCUGGCUAAUACGAAGAGAGGUAGGAAACUCAUGCGCAUCAUUCUCUCUAAAAGUGAUGUCUCCAUUCGUCACAUCUAUCAGAGCUUGCCCCGUAACUAGAAACAAUCAACCAAGGAUCAACGGAGG